GCGAUCUUCUCAUCUCAUCGCGCGAAUCACUGGUUGAGUCUUAAGAUGACGACCACCAAAAUUAUCGGAGCGGUGGCGGCAUCAUUUGUUGUCGCAUAUGCAUGUGACUAUGUAGUCUCUGUCAAAAAGAUUUUUGGUGGUACCACCCCCCACACCGUCGCUGACAAGGAGUGGUGGGAAGCGACUGAUAAGAAGUUCCAGGCGUGGCCUCGUACUGCUGGACCACCGGUCGUCAUGAACCCUAUCAGCCGCCAGAACUUCAUUGUCAAGCCAUCUGAAUCCUAAAGACAUGUCCGGGGAGUAAAUAUUUUGCUGGUGAUAAGAAGUCCGGUAUGGCUGCUUUUGUUUAAGACUUUUAAAUGUAGUUUCUGGAUUUCC
RNAcentral lists this unclassified non-coding RNA (378 nucleotides) under Hevea brasiliensis (rubber tree). Lineage: Eukaryota; Viridiplantae; Streptophyta; Magnoliopsida; Malpighiales; Euphorbiaceae. The record is from RNAcentral.